This 278-nucleotide ribosomal RNA is filed under the name uncultured Chloroflexota bacterium. RNAcentral's name for it is "uncultured Chloroflexi bacterium partial 16S ribosomal RNA". It matches the Rfam family "Bacterial small subunit ribosomal RNA", at positions 28 to 310 of the family's 1533-position model. The record is from RNAcentral. Lineage: Bacteria; Bacillati; Chloroflexota.
GAUGAACGCUGGCGGCGUGCCUAAUACAUGCAAGUCGAACGGGGAGGAGCAAUCCUUCUAGUGGCGAACGGGUGAGUAACGCGUUGGUGACCUGCCCCGGAGUGUGGGAUACCAGGCCGAAAGGCUUGCUAAUACCGCAUGCGCAAAGAGACGAUUAGAAAGCUUUUUUGCAAAGGAGUAAUCCGCUCUGGGAGGGGCCUGCGACCCAUCAGCUAGUUGGUAAGGUAACGGCCUACCAAGGCGAUGACGGGUAGGGGACCUGAGAGGGUGGCCCCCCA